GGCCUACGGGAGGCAGCAGUGGGGAAUAUUGGACAAUGGGGGCAACCCUGAUCCAGCCAUGCCGCGUGUGUGAAGAAGGCCUUCGGGUUGUAAAGCACUUUCAGCUGUGAGGAAAGGCGAGUGGUUAAUACCCGCUUGCUGUGACGUUAACAGCAGAAGAAGGACCGGCUAACUCCGUGCCAGCAGCCGCGGUAAU
RNAcentral lists this ribosomal RNA (196 nucleotides) under uncultured Marinobacterium sp. RNAcentral describes it as "partial 16S ribosomal RNA". It matches the Rfam family "Bacterial small subunit ribosomal RNA", at positions 335 to 524 of the family's 1533-position model. Lineage: Bacteria; Pseudomonadati; Pseudomonadota; Gammaproteobacteria; Oceanospirillales; Oceanospirillaceae. The record is from RNAcentral.